GGGAAGGGAGCUGGCAGUGAUGAGCAGCCUUAUGGAGAGGCAAUGUGAAAAGGAAGAGAAGCCUUUGGCCAUCUGCCAACAAGGAACUGAAUGAACUUGGAAGUGGGUUCUCCAGCCACAGCUUAGUCUUCUGAUGCUGGCAACACUGGUUGGUACUUGAUUGCAUUCUCAGUAGAGAUCCUGAGCCAGCACCUCCCAGUUAACCCACUGGGGACGGAGGACACUGAGCAUCACUGAAGGCCCAAAGCUACCCCUUCAGCCUCACCCUCACCAUGUCCUGCCUCUGGAGCCAUACUGCAGCUCCACCGAGCUAAUGGAAAUUUCCUCAGCCUGCCAAGAGCUUUCUGUGUACUGAGCCUUUAUCUCUGCAGUUUCUUCAGCCUGGACACCUUUCCAAACUUCUCCACCAGGUGCGUUCCUACUACUCAUCUUUCAAGACUCAGAUGAGAUGCCCCACUUGUAGGAUGCCACUCCUGACCUGGUCCAAGGCCUCCUACUUCUCUUGAUUAUUGCUCCUGCCUCCUGCCUGAGCUCCUGGCCUCUAGCUUCUCUCUUCCACUCAAAACCCCCAUGGAGCAGCCACCUGCCUUUCUAAAACACAAAUCUUGUCAUGUCACUCCCUGCUUCAAAUAACUAGUCAAUGGAAUAAUCCAUUAAUCAAUGCUUCAAGGGCUCCUCUUUGCCCUCAGGAAGGCAUCCAAAGCCUUCAGCUGGAACUCAAGGCUUGGUCCGCUCUGUCUCUCCUGACUGUCCUGCCCACACGGUACACUGUUCUUGUCAUCAUGUCUCCGACACCCUGUGCUACCUUUGCUCAUCCUGUUCUUUCCCUUGCCUGGUACCCUCUUCUCUACCUGGGAACCCCUACCUAAUCUUUAGGGUCAAGUCUGCUAUUUUCUAUUUUCCCUGCUAGGAACCCUUUUCAGCUGGGCCCAGGAAGAGCCCAUGGUUUCUUUUUGUUCCCUUUCCUAGGUGACUACGUGUGUGUGUGUGUGUGUGUGUG
RNAcentral lists this long non-coding RNA (1000 nucleotides) under Heterocephalus glaber (naked mole-rat). RNAcentral's name for it is "lncRNA (ENSHGLG00100035227.1)". The record is from RNAcentral. Lineage: Eukaryota; Metazoa; Chordata; Mammalia; Rodentia; Bathyergidae.